Molecule: ribosomal RNA, 253 nt
Filed under: uncultured bacterium
Lineage: Bacteria
Description: partial 16S ribosomal RNA
Rfam family: Bacterial small subunit ribosomal RNA
Source: RNAcentral
UACGUAGGGUGCGAGCGUUGUCCGGAAUUAUUGGGCGUAAAGGGCUCGUAGGCGGUCUGUCACGUCGGGAGUGAAAAUUCAGGGCUUAACCCUGAGCCUGCUUCCGAUACGGGCUGACUAGAGGUAUGCAGGGGAGAACGGAAUUCCUGGUGUAGCGGUGAAAUGCGCAGAUAUCAGGAGGAACACCGGUGGCGAAGGCGGUUCUCUGGGCAUUACCUGACGCUGAGGAGCGAAAGUGUGGGGAGCGAACAGG